Molecule: small RNA, 87 nt
Organism: Halobacillus sp. BAB-2008
Lineage: Bacteria; Bacillati; Bacillota; Bacilli; Caryophanales; Bacillaceae
Rfam family: BsrC
About the family: The 301 nucleotide sequence from Kouji Nakamura has been trimmed to a highly conserved ~85 nucleotide long core to form this family.
Source: Rfam
UUCAACUUAAACGACGCAAUCCCUACCUCUAUUGCAUCCUUACAGCUCCGAAGCUGAUCCAGUGUGAUUAAGUUGUAUCAAAACGUA